RNAcentral lists this ribosomal RNA (335 nucleotides) under uncultured bacterium. Its description in RNAcentral is "bacterial SSU rRNA". It matches the Rfam family "Bacterial small subunit ribosomal RNA", at positions 18 to 344 of the family's 1533-position model. The record is from RNAcentral.
CAUGGCUCAGGAUGAACGCUAGCUACAGGCCUAACACAUGCAAGUCGAGGGGCAGCAUGGAAGAAGCUUGCUCCUUCUGAUGGCGACCGGCGCACGGGUGCGUAACGCGUAUCAAACCUGCCUCAUACUCGGGGAUAGCCUUGCGAGAGUAAGACUAAUACCCGAUGUUAUUAGUUUACCGCAUGGUGGACUAAUCAAAGAUUUAUCGGUAUGGGAUGGUGAUGCGUCCGAUUAGGUAGUAGGCGGGGUAACGGCCCACCUAGCCUUCGAUCGGUAGGGGUUCUGAGAGGACGAUCCCCCACACUGGGACUGAGACACGGUCCAGACUCCUACGG